CGGCGAACGGGUGAGUAACGCGUGGAUUAUCUGCCCUGAGUGGGGGAUAACCGGGGGAAACUCUGGCUAAUACCGCAUAUGACCGUGAGGUCAAAGGGGGUCGCAAGAUCUCUCGCCAUAGGAGGAGUCCGCGUACGAUUAGCUAGUUGGUAGGGUAAUGGCCUACCAAGGCGACGAUCGUUAGCCGGCCUGAGAGGGUGAUCGGCCACACUGGAACUGAGACACGGUCCAG
Molecule: ribosomal RNA, 232 nt
Filed under: uncultured bacterium
Lineage: Bacteria
Description: partial 16S ribosomal RNA
Rfam family: Bacterial small subunit ribosomal RNA
Source: RNAcentral